CAGUAGCCACGGGAAUACGUAGGGUGCGAGCGUUAAUCGGAAUUACUGGGCGUAAAGCGUGCGCAGGCGGCUUUGCAAGACAGAUGUGAAAUCCCCGGGCUCAACCUGGGAACUGCAUUUGUGACUGCAAGGCUAGAGUGCGGCAGAGGGAGAUGGAAUUCUGCGUGUAGCAGUGAAAUGCGUAGAUAUGCGGAGGAACACCGAUGGCGAAGGCAAUCUCCUGGGCCUGCACUGACGCUCAUGCACGAAAGCGUGGGGAGCAAAUGGGAUUAGAUACCCGCGUAGUCCCUGUCUCUUAUAC
Molecule: ribosomal RNA, 301 nt
Filed under: uncultured bacterium
Lineage: Bacteria
Description: partial 16S ribosomal RNA
Rfam family: Bacterial small subunit ribosomal RNA
Source: RNAcentral